AGGCUUUAGUGAGAGAAAGCUCGCUUCUGCAGAAGAGCCAGCCUUCCUACCAAAGGAAACAAACAUCACGGUUCUUUCAGAUUCAGAAGAAGCAUGAAGCUCUGCAACCUUCUUUAAGAAGUGGAUCGUCGCAGCUCACCAUCUUCUUCAGAUCGCCACAGUUAGAAUAAUUAUCUUCAUAUUCACAACUAUUGGCUGAAAUAGAGAAUAAAAACAUCCCUUA
RNAcentral lists this long non-coding RNA (223 nucleotides) under Rattus norvegicus (Norway rat). RNAcentral's name for it is "long non-coding RNA NONRATT029852". The record is from RNAcentral. Lineage: Eukaryota; Metazoa; Chordata; Mammalia; Rodentia; Muridae.